CCCUUAGAUGUUCUGGGCUGCACGCGCGCUACACUGACGCACGCAACAGGUGCCUGCUCCGAGAGGACUGGGUAAUCAUUUGAGUGUGCGUCGUGAUGGGGAUAGAAUAUUGUAAUUAUUACUCUUCAACGAGGAAUUCCUAGUAAGCGCCAGUCAGCAGCUUGCGCUGAUUACGUCCCUGCCCUUUGUACACACCGCCCGUCGCUCCUACCGAUGGGUGAUCCGGUGAAUGAUUCGGACUUCAGCGGCUCCCCUGGGGUGCGCCGGAGAAAGUUUUGUGAACCUUAUCACUUAGAGGAAGGAGAAGUCGUAACA
Molecule: ribosomal RNA, 315 nt
Filed under: uncultured eukaryote
Lineage: Eukaryota
Description: partial 18S ribosomal RNA
Rfam family: Eukaryotic small subunit ribosomal RNA
Source: RNAcentral